GACGAACGCUGGCGGCGUGCUUAACACAUGCAAGUCGAACGAUGAUGCCCAGCUUGCUGGGUGGAUUAGUGGCGAACGGGUGAGUAACACGUGAGUAACCUGCCCCUGACUCUGGGAUAAGCGUUGGAAACGACGUCUAAUACUGGUUAUGACUGCCGGCCGGAUGGUCUGGUGGUGGAAAGAUUUUUUGGUUGGGGCUGGACUCGCGGCCUAUCAGCUUGUUGGUGGGGUAAUGGCUCACCAAGGGGACGACGGGUAGCCGGCCUGAGAGGGUGACCGGCCACACUGGGACUGAGACACGGCCCAGACUCCUACGGGAGGCAGCAGUGGGGAAUAUUGCACAAUGGGCGAAAGCCUGAUGCAGCAACGCCGCGUGAGGGAUGACGGCCUUCGGGUUGUAAACCUCUUUUAGUAGGGAAGAAGCGUAAGUGACGGUACCUGCAGAAAAAGCACCGGCUAACUACGUGCCAGCCGCCGCCGUAA
RNAcentral lists this ribosomal RNA (483 nucleotides) under uncultured bacterium. Its description in RNAcentral is "partial 16S ribosomal RNA". It matches the Rfam family "Bacterial small subunit ribosomal RNA", at positions 28 to 523 of the family's 1533-position model. The record is from RNAcentral.